RNAcentral lists this ribosomal RNA (468 nucleotides) under uncultured bacterium. RNAcentral's name for it is "partial 16S ribosomal RNA". It matches the Rfam family "Bacterial small subunit ribosomal RNA", at positions 28 to 507 of the family's 1533-position model. The record is from RNAcentral.
GACGAACGCUGGCGGCGUGCUUAACACAUGCAAGUCGAACGGAAAGGCCCUGCUUUUGUGGGUUGCUCGAGUGGCGAACGGGUGAGUAACACGUGAGUAACCUGCCCUUGACUUUGGGAUAACUUCAGGAAACUGGGGCUCAUACCGGAUAGGAUCUCCUGCUGCAUGGUGGGGGUUGGAAAGUUUCGGCGGUUGGGGAUGGACUCGCGGCUUAUCAGCUUGUUUGUGGGGUAGUGGCUUUCCAAGGCUUUGACGGGUAGCCGGCCUGAGAGGGUGACCGGCCACAUUGGGACUGAGAGACGGCCCAGACUCCUAAGGGAGGCAGCAGUGGGGAAUAUUGCAAAAUGGGCGGAAGCCUGAUGCAGCAACGCCGCGUGCGGGAUGACGGCCUUCGGGUUGUAAACCGCUUUCGCCUGUGACGAAGCGUGAGUGACGGUAAUGGGUAAAGAAGCACCGGCUAACUACGUG